UUUCAAGAUUCUAAGAGCAAACGGUGGAUGCCUUGGCAUCUGGAGCCGAAGAAGGACGUAUAAAUCUGCGAUAAGCCUCGGGGAGCUGAUAAUAGAGCUUUGAUCCGAGGAUCUCCGAAUGGGGAAACCCCGCCAGGCCCUUUGGGUGACCUGGUGACUCCCGCCUGAAUAUAUAGGGCGGGUAGAGGGAACGUGGGGAAGUGAAACAUCUCAGUACCCACAGGAAGAGAAAGCAAAAGCGAUUCCGUUAGUAGUGGCGAGCGAAACCGGAAGAGGCCAAACCGAUCAUGUGUGAUAUCCGGUAGGAGUUGCAUGGUCGGGGUUGCGGGACUUUCCGUACAGUUCUACCGAGCUGUGAGGGCAAUGAGCGCGAUAUAGACGAAUGGUCUUGAAAGGCCAGUCAUAGAGGGUGCGAACCCCGUAGUCGAAAUGUCGUCGCCUGUCCGGAGAGUAUCCCAAGUAGCACGGGGCCCGAGAAAUCCCGUGUGAAUCUGUCAGGACCACCUGAUAAGCCUAAAUACUCCCAGAUGACCGAUAGCGGACAAGUACCGUGAGGGAAAGGUGAAAAGUACCCCGGGAGGGGAGUGAAAUAGUACCUGAAACCGUUUGCUUACAAACCGUUGGAGCGCCCUUGUUGGUGUGACAGCGUGCCUUUUGAAGAAUGAGCCUGCGAGUUAGUGAUAUGUGGCGAGGUUAACCCGUGAGGGGCAGCCGUAGCGAAAGCGAGUCUUAAUAGGGCGUAUGAGUCGCAUGUUCUAGACCCGAAGCGAAGUGAUCUAUCCAUGGCCAGGUUGAAGCGACGGUAAGACGUCGUGGAGGACCGAACCCACUUCAGUUGAAAAUGGAGGGGAUGAGCUGUGGAUAGGGGUGAAAGGCCAAUCAAACUUCGUGAUAGCUGGUUCUCUCCGAAAUGCAUUUAGGUGCAGCGUUGCGUGUUUCUUGCCGGAGGUAGAGCUACUGGAUGGACGAUGGGCCCCAAAAGGUUACUGACUUCAGCCAAACUCCGAAUGCCGGUAAGUGAGAGCGCAGCAGUGAGACGGUGGGGGAUAAGCUUCAUCGUCGAGAGGGAAACAACCCAGACCACCAUCUAAGGUCCCUAAGCGCGUGCUAAGUGGGAAAGGAUGUGGAGUUGCAUAGACAACCAGGAGGUUGGCUUAGAAGCAGCCACCCUUGAAAGAGUGCGUAAUAGCUCACUGGUCAAGUGAUUCCGCGCCGACAAUGUAACGGGGCUCAAGCACGCCACCGAAGUUGUGGCAUUUAUAUUAUAGGCAGGCCUUCGUGGUCCAGCCGUAUGGAUGGGUAGGAGAGCGUCGUGUGGCCAGCGAAGCGGCGGUGUGAACCAGCCGUGGAGGCCACACGAGUGAGAAUGCAGGCAUGAGUAGCGAAAGACGGGUGAGAAACCCGUCCUCCGAAAGACCAAGGGUUCCAGGGCCAGGCUAAUCCGCCCUGGGUAAGUCGGGACCUAAGGCGAGGCCGACAGGCGUAGUCGAUGGACAACGGGUUGAUAUUCCCGUACCGAUGAAGAACCGCCCAAGACAAUCCAGUAAUGCUAAGUGUCUGAAUCCUUGAU
Molecule: ribosomal RNA, 1570 nt
Filed under: Clavibacter michiganensis
Lineage: Bacteria; Bacillati; Actinomycetota; Actinomycetes; Micrococcales; Microbacteriaceae
Description: partial 23S ribosomal RNA
Rfam family: Bacterial large subunit ribosomal RNA
Source: RNAcentral